GACGGAGAGUUUGAUCCUGGCUCAGAGCGAACGCUGGCGGCGUGGAUAAGGCAUGCAAGUCGCGCGAUCCCCGCAAGGGGAUAGCGGCUAACGGGUGCGUAACGCGUGGGGAACUUGUCCUGGAGACAGGGAUAGCACUGCGAAAGCGGUGGUAAUACCUGAUAAGCCCAGAGCCUCGCAUGGGGUGACGGGCAAAGAUGGCCUCGACCGCAAGGUUGCUAUCGCUUCAGGAGGGCCCCGCGUCCCAUCAGCUAGUUGGUAGGGUCACGGCCUACCAAGGCGUGGACGGGUAGCUGGCCUGAGAGGGUGGUCAGCCACACUGGGACUGAGACACUGCCCAGACUCCUACGGGAGGCUGCAGUCGAGAAUCUUUGGCAAUGGGCGAAAGCCUGACCAUGCGACGCCGCGUGCGGGAUGAAGGCUUUCGGGUCGUAAACCGCUGUUACGAGGGACGAAGUCCGGCCCGUCAAACAAACGGGCGGGAUUGACGGUACCUCGAGAGAAAGCCACGGCUAACUCCGUGCCAGCAGCCGCGGUAAUACGGAGGUGGCAAGCGUUGCUCGGAUUCAUUGGGUGUAAAGGGCAAGUAGGCGGCUUCGCAAGUCGGGUGUGAAAUCCCACGGCUUAACCGUGGAACUGCGCCCGAAACUGCGGGGCUUGAGGACGGGAGAGGCGAAUGGAAUUCCCGGUGUAAGGGUGAAAUCUGUAGAGAUCGGGAGGAACACCAGUGGCGAAGGCGAUUCGCUGGACCGUUUCUGACGCUGAGAGGCGAAAGCUAGGGGAGCAAACAGGAUUAGAUACCCUGGUAGUCCUAGCCGUAAACGAUGGGCACUAGGUGUUGGGUCUUUCGGGGCCCAGUGCCGUAGGUAACCCGUUAAGUGCCCCACCUGAGGAGUACGGCCGCAAGGUUGAAACUCAAAGGAAUUGACGGGGGCCAGCACAAGCGGUGGAACAUGUGGUUUAAUUCGAUGCUACGCGAAGAACCUUACCCAGGCUUGACAUGCAGGAAGUAGGAACCUGAAAGGGGGACGACUCGUAACCAGUCGAGAGCUUGCACAGGUGCUGCAUGGCUGUCGUCAGCUCGUGCCGUGAGGUGUUGGCUUAAGUGCCAAAACGAGCGCAACCAUCGCUCACUGUUGCGACCAGGUCCGCAAGGAUGCUGAGCACUCUGUGGGGACUGCCAGCGACGAGCUGGAGGAAGGUGGUGAUGACGUCAAGUCCGUACGGCCUUUAUGCCUGGGGCGACACACGUGUUACAAUCCCCGCGACAGCGCGCUGCGACACCGCGAGGUGAAGCUAAUCGCUUAAAAGCGGGGUCAGUUCAGAUUGCAGGCUGCAACCCGCCUGCAUGAAGCCGGAAUCGCUAGUAACGGCGGAUCAGCUACGCCGCCGUGAAUACGUUCCCUGGCCUUGUACACACCGCCCGUCAAGCGAUGGGAGCUGGAAGCACCCGAAGUCGGUGCGCCAACCCGCAAGGGAGGCAGCCGCCGAAGGUGAGUCUGGUGACUGGCGCUAAGUCGUAACAAGGUAGCCCCACGGGAACGCGGGGCUGGAUCACCUCCUUUCUAAGGA
This 1572-nucleotide ribosomal RNA is filed under the name Candidatus Aquivivens invisus. Its description in RNAcentral is "bacterial SSU rRNA". It matches the Rfam family "Bacterial small subunit ribosomal RNA". The record is from RNAcentral. RNAcentral also lists the same sequence under 2 other names. Lineage: Bacteria; Pseudomonadati; Candidatus Omnitrophota.